Amphimedon queenslandica is the source of this 273-nucleotide long non-coding RNA. RefSeq lists it as uncharacterized. NCBI's taxonomy places the organism in Eukaryota, Metazoa, Porifera, Demospongiae, Haplosclerida, Niphatidae. The record is from RefSeq and is a predicted model, not a curated record. The transcript has 3 exons.
UACCGCGUUACUAAUAUAAUAUCAGUGGAUGUAAAUAGAUUCUCACCUGUUCACUUUCCAACAGAAAAUUCCUUUGUUAAUGAAUCACUGAGUAUUGAAGAGAAACCAGGAGCACUUGUAACAGGCAUUAUGUUAAAUAUUUCUACUGAAGUGGCUGCUACAAGUUGUCAAGUAAUGACAAGUAAUGAAUACAGUACACCAAAUGUUUUUGAAGAUAAUUCAGAUUAUAAAAAUCAUGGGGUACCAGAAGUAAUGCCAAGCACUUGUAAUAAA